UACAGAGGGGGCAAGCGUUGUUCGGAAUUACUGGGCGUAAAGGGCGCGUAGGUGGCCUUCUAAGUUGAACGUGAAAUCCCCGGGCUCAACCCGGGAACUGCGUCCGAUACUGGCAGGCUUGAAUUCGGGAGAGGGAUGCGGAAUUCCAGGUGUAGCGGUGAAAUGCGUAGAUAUCUGGAGGAACACCGGUGGCGAAGGCGGCAUCCUGGACCGAGAUUGACGCUGAUGCGCGAAAGCCAGGGGAGCAAACGGG
This 253-nucleotide ribosomal RNA is filed under the name uncultured bacterium. Its description in RNAcentral is "partial 16S ribosomal RNA". It matches the Rfam family "Bacterial small subunit ribosomal RNA", at positions 524 to 776 of the family's 1533-position model. The record is from RNAcentral.